Molecule: ribosomal RNA, 231 nt
Filed under: Vibrio parahaemolyticus
Lineage: Bacteria; Pseudomonadati; Pseudomonadota; Gammaproteobacteria; Vibrionales; Vibrionaceae
Description: partial 16S ribosomal RNA
Rfam family: Bacterial small subunit ribosomal RNA
Source: RNAcentral
AAAUUGAAGAGUUUGAUCAUGGCUCAGAUUGAACGCUGGCGGCAGGCCUAACACAUGCAAGUCGAGCGGAAACGAGUUAUCAGAACCUUCGGGGRACGAUARCGGCGUCGAGCGGCGGACGGGUGAGUAAUGCCUAGGAAAUUGCCCUGAUGUGGGGGAUAACCAUUGGAAACGAUGGCUAAUACCGCAUGAUGCCUACGGGCCAAAGAGGGGGACCUUCGGGCCUCUCGC